RNAcentral lists this ribosomal RNA (2459 nucleotides) under Klebsiella pneumoniae. RNAcentral's name for it is "bacterial LSU rRNA". It matches the Rfam family "Bacterial large subunit ribosomal RNA", at positions 398 to 2839 of the family's 2925-position model. The record is from RNAcentral. Lineage: Bacteria; Pseudomonadati; Pseudomonadota; Gammaproteobacteria; Enterobacterales; Enterobacteriaceae.
UGUGAACUCGAAGAGUAGGGCGGGACACGUGGUAUCCUGUCUGAAUAUGGGGGGACCAUCCUCCAAGGCUAAAUACUCCUGACUGACCGAUAGUGAACCAGUACCGUGAGGGAAAGGCGAAAAGAACCCCGGCGAGGGGAGUGAAAAAGAACCUGAAACCGUGUACGUACAAGCAGUGGGAGCACCUUCGGGUGUGACUGCGUACCUUUUGUAUAAUGGGUCAGCGACUUAUAUUCUGUAGCAAGGUUAACCGUAUAGGGGAGCCGCAGGGAAACCGAGUCUUAACUGGGCGUUAAGUUGCAGGGUAUAGACCCGAAACCCGGUGAUCUAGCCAUGGGCAGGUUGAAGGUUGGGUAACACUAACUGGAGGACCGAACCGACUAAUGUUGAAAAAUUAGCGGAUGACUUGUGGCUGGGGGUGAAAGGCCAAUCAAACCGGGAGAUAGCUGGUUCUCCCCGAAAGCUAUUUAGGUAGCGCCUCGUGAACUCAUCUUCGGGGGUAGAGCACUGUUUCGGCUAGGGGGUCAUCCCGACUUACCAACCCGAUGCAAACUACGAAUACCGAAGAAUGUUAUCACGGGAGACACACGGCGGGUGCUAACGUCCGUCGUGAAGAGGGAAACAACCCAGACCGCCAGCUAAGGUCCCAAAGUCAUGGUUAAGUGGGAAACGAUGUGGGAAGGCACAGACAGCCAGGAUGUUGGCUUAGAAGCAGCCAUCAUUUAAAGAAAGCGUAAUAGCUCACUGGUCGAGUCGGCCUGCGCGGAAGAUGUAACGGGGCUAAACCAUGCACCGAAGCUGCGGCAGCGACACUAUGUGUUGUUGGGUAGGGGAGCGUUCUGUAAGCCUGCGAAGGUGUGCUGUGAGGCAUGCUGGAGGUAUCAGAAGUGCGAAUGCUGACAUAAGUAACGAUAAAGCGGGUGAAAAGCCCGCUCGCCGGAAGACCAAGGGUUCCUGUCCAACGUUAAUCGGGGCAGGGUGAGUCGACCCCUAAGGCGAGGCCGAAAGGCGUAGUCGAUGGGAAACAGGUUAAUAUUCCUGUACUUGGUGUUACUGCGAAGGGGGGACGGAGAAGGCUAUGUUAGCCGGGCGACGGUUGUCCCGGUUUAAGCAUGUAGGCUGGUUAUCCAGGCAAAUCCGGAUAAUCAAGGCUGAGGUGUGAUGACGAGGCACUACGGUGCUGAAGUAACAAAUGCCCUGCUUCCAGGAAAAGCCUCUAAGCAUCAGGUAACAUCAAAUCGUACCCCAAACCGACACAGGUGGUCAGGUAGAGAAUACCAAGGCGCUUGAGAGAACUCGGGUGAAGGAACUAGGCAAAAUGGUGCCGUAACUUCGGGAGAAGGCACGCUGGUGUGUAGGUGAAGCCCCUGCGGGUGGAGCUGAGACCAGUCGAAGAUACCAGCUGGCUGCAACUGUUUAUUAAAAACACAGCACUGUGCAAACACGAAAGUGGACGUAUACGGUGUGACGCCUGCCCGGUGCCGGAAGGUUAAUUGAUGGGGUUAUCCGUAAGGAGAAGCUCUUGAUCGAAGCCCCGGUAAACGGCGGCCGUAACUAUAACGGUCCUAAGGUAGCGAAAUUCCUUGUCGGGUAAGUUCCGACCUGCACGAAUGGCGUAAUGAUGGCCAGGCUGUCUCCACCCGAGACUCAGUGAAAUUGAACUCGCUGUGAAGAUGCAGUGUACCCGCGGCAAGACGGAAAGACCCCGUGAACCUUUACUAUAGCUUGACACUGAACAUUGAGCCUUGAUGUGUAGGAUAGGUGGGAGGCUUUGAAGCGUGGACGCCAGUCUGCGUGGAGCCAACCUUGAAAUACCACCCUUUAAUGUUUGAUGUUCUAACGUUGGCCCCUUACCGGGGUUGCGGACAGUGUCUGGUGGGUAGUUUGACUGGGGCGGUCUCCUCCCAAAGCGUAACGGAGGAGCACGAAGGUUAGCUAAUCCUGGUCGGACAUCAGGAGGUUAGUGCAAUGGCAUAAGCUAGCUUGACUGCGAGCGUGACGGCGCGAGCAGGUGCGAAAGCAGGUCAUAGUGAUCCGGUGGUUCUGAAUGGAAGGGCCAUCGCUCAACGGAUAAAAGGUACUCCGGGGAUAACAGGCUGAUACCGCCCAAGAGUUCAUAUCGACGGCGGUGUUUGGCACCUCGAUGUCGGCUCAUCACAUCCUGGGGCUGAAGUAGGUCCCAAGGGUAUGGCUGUUCGCCAUUUAAAGUGGUACGCGAGCUGGGUUUAGAACGUCGUGAGACAGUUCGGUCCCUAUCUGCCGUGGGCGCUGGAGAAUUGAGGGGGGCUGCUCCUAGUACGAGAGGACCGGAGUGGACGCAUCACUGGUGUUCGGGUUGUCAUGCCAAUGGCACUGCCCGGUAGCUAAAUGCGGAAGAGAUAAGUGCUGAAAGCAUCUAAGCACGAAACUUGCCCCGAGAUGAGUUCUCCCUGAGACUUUAAGUCUCCUGAAGGAACGUU